This 241-nucleotide ribosomal RNA is filed under the name uncultured bacterium. RNAcentral describes it as "partial 16S ribosomal RNA". It matches the Rfam family "Bacterial small subunit ribosomal RNA", at positions 15 to 245 of the family's 1533-position model. The record is from RNAcentral.
GAUCAUGGCUCAGGAUGAACGCUAGCUACAGGCUUAACACAUGCAAGUCGAGGGGCAGCAUGAACUUAGCUUGCUAAGUUUGAUGGCGACCGGCGCACGGGUGAGUAACACGUAUCCAACCUGCCGACUGACUCGGGGAGUAGCCUUUCGUAAAGAAAGAUUAAUACCCGAUGGCAUAGUUCUUCCGCAUGGUAGAACUAUUAAAGGAUUUCGGUCAUCGAUGGGGAUGCGUUCCAUUAGG